Molecule: ribosomal RNA, 460 nt
Filed under: uncultured bacterium
Lineage: Bacteria
Description: partial 16S ribosomal RNA
Rfam family: Bacterial small subunit ribosomal RNA
Source: RNAcentral
CCUACGGGUGGCAGCAGUGAGGAAUAUUGGUCAAUGGACGAAAGUCUGAACCAGCCAAGCAGCGUGAAGGAUGACGGCCCUCUGGGUUGUAAACUUCUUUUAUAGAGGAAUAAAACGAGGCACGUGUGCCUUUUUUCAUUUACUUUAUGAAUAAAGAUAGGCUAACUCCGUGCCAGCAGCCGCGGUAAUACGGAGGAUCCGAGCGUUAUCCGGAUUUAUUGGGUUUAAAGGGAGCGUAGAUGGGUUGUUAAGUCAGUUGUGAAAGUUUGCGGCUCAACCGUAAAAUUGCAAGUGAUACUGGCAGUCUUGAGUGCAGUUGAGGAAGGCGGAAUUCGUGGUGUAGCGGUGGAAUGCUUAGAUAUCACGAAGAACCCCGAUUGCGAAGGCAGCUUACUAGACUGUGACUGACACUGAUGCUCGAAAGUGUGGGUAUCAAACAGGAUUAGAUACCCUAGUAGUC